This 356-nucleotide ribosomal RNA is filed under the name Clostridioides difficile. Its description in RNAcentral is "bacterial LSU rRNA". It matches the Rfam family "Bacterial large subunit ribosomal RNA", at positions 2497 to 2855 of the family's 2925-position model. The record is from RNAcentral. Lineage: Bacteria; Bacillati; Bacillota; Clostridia; Peptostreptococcales; Peptostreptococcaceae.
AGUCCACAUCGACGGGGAGGUUUGGCACCUCGAUGUCGGCUCAUCACAUCCUGGGGCUGUAGUAGGUCCCAAGGGUUGGGCUGUUCGCCCAUUAAAGUGGUACGCGAGCUGGGUUCAGAACGUCGUGGGACAGUUCGGUCCCUAUCCGUCGCAGGCGUAGGAAAUUUGAGAAGACCUGUCCUUAGUACGAGAGGACCGGGAUGGACGUACCUCUGGUGUACCAGUUGUCCUGCCAAGGGCAUGGCUGGGUAGCUAUGUACGGAAUGGAUAAGCGCUGAAAGCAUCUAAGCGCGAAGCCAACUUCAAGAUAAGAUUUCCCACCGCAAGGGUAAGACCCCAGAAAGACUAUCUGGUUG